Molecule: long non-coding RNA, 2363 nt
Filed under: Homo sapiens (human)
Lineage: Eukaryota; Metazoa; Chordata; Mammalia; Primates; Hominidae
Description: HSALNT0050360
Source: RNAcentral
GUCAUUGCUACCUGGUGAUUGGCGUUUGGCUUAUAGUCAGCAGCCUACGCUGGGCUAGAGAGAAGGGGUGGAAAGCAAGCUUGGCUUAUAGCCAGUGCUGUGUAUGCAGCCAUAUAGUGAAUGCCUUCAUUUGCACCCUGAACUCUGAAUAGUCACUUUUAAAACAUCCAUCUGUCAUCCAUCUAGUGAGGUCAGGAGAGUGGCUGCUUAACUUCUGGGGGUUGCAGAAAAGGAAGAAGAAUCAGCAGAGAGCAUUUGUGGCCAGCAAAGCUUAAAAUAUUUCCUAACCGAUCCUUUGCAAAAAAAGUUCACCCACUCCUGUAGUCAGCAGCUCCCCUACUGUGCGCAGUCAGUGUGCCAUCUCAGACUAGCAAAGAUUUGUGCUUGGAUCAUCUACACUUCCCUGAAUGUUGAAGAAGAUAUGCUAUCCAUGCAAUCCUUGUCGACUGCUUGAUUAAAAAGUGGAUAAACUGUCUUCAGGCCCUUGGAGUAUGGUGUCUGUGUGAAGAAGGGAAUGAGGCAGAAGUAGCAGUCAGUGGUGGCUGAAGUAGGAGAAAGUGCUUGCUAAUGAAAUCUUGAUUUUUCUGUGGCUUUUCUGUGCAAUUGGGUGGCUAAGUAGGAAAGCCAUUGGAGCUUCACUGUAUCAAUUCUGCCUUUCUUGUUUUUUGGAACUCCAAUUCACCAAGGCUCCCUGCCACCCUAUCCAUCUAUAACUUUUCAUCACUUUUUCCUCAAAGUAAGAAGUGUGUCCCAGAAAAUGUGCCUUUGUGACUCAGCAACAUUUCAAAUCCAUCUGAGCCUUCCCAGCGUUCCAAAAGAAAUACUGAUUUGAAUUCAGCUGCUUAAAAAACCAGUCUCUAAGCAGACAGCUUGAAACUUCCUUACAGCAAUAGUUUAGGCUUUGGAGGGGAAAUUGGUUUGUUUUUAAUUGUUUUAAUUUUUCAUUCAAUUCAUUUGCCGCCUGAUUAUAUAUGAUCUUUUGAGCCCAAUACUCUGCUAAAUUAACCUUGACUUUCUUUCUCUCUUUCUCUCUCUCUCCUUCUCUCUUUCUUCCUUUCUUUCUUUCUUUUUGACAGAGCCUUGCUCUGUCGCCCAGGCUGGAAUGCAGUGGCACAAUCUCAGCUCACUGUAAACUCCGCCUCCAAAGUUCAAGCAAUUCUCCUGCCUCAGCCUCCUGUGUAGCUGGGAUUACACACGCCAGCCACCAUGCCUGGCUAAUUUUUGUAUUUUUAGUAAAGAUGGAGUUUCACCCUCUUGGCCAAGCUGGUCUCGAACUCCUGACCUCAACCUUGGCCUCUCAAAGUGCUGGGAUUACAAGCAUGAGCCACCAUGCCUGGCCUUACCUUGAUUUUUUUUUUUUGAGACAGAGUCUCACUCUGUUGCUCAGGCUGGAGUGUAGUGGCUCGAUCUUGGCUCACUGCAACCUCCAUCUCCCGGGUUCAAGAGAUUCUCCUGCCUCAGCCUCCCAAGUAGCUGGGACUACAGGUGUGGGCCACCACGCCUAGCUAAUUUUUUAUAUGUUUACUAGAGACAGGGUUUCACCAUGUUGGGCAGGCUGGUCUUGAACUCCUGACCUCAGGUGAUUCACCUGCCUCGGCCUCCCAAAAUGCUGGGAUUACAGGUGUGAGCCACCACACCCGGCCCCUACCUUUGAUUUUUAAGUCAAGAGGGAACAAGUCGAAAUUUCUAUUCAGGUAAACUGUAUACCUUUGGACACUGAAUCACUUUUAGAACCCCAGUAAAAAUCAUGUAUGAAUGACCCACAAUUUCACUCCAACAGGAAGGUGUGUAUAUGUGCACAAAAACAUUAGAUUGUUCACACCGGUGCUAUUCAUAAUAGUCAAAAACUGGAAACAACUCAAACAUCCAUCAACUGUAGAAUGGAUAAAUAAAUCAUGAUAUAUUCAUACCAUGGAACAUAACAGUGACAAUAAAUGAACCACUGCUACACACAACAGAUAUGAAUUUCACAAACAGAAUGCUGAGCAACAGAAGCCAAACACAGAAGGAUACACAUUUAUAAAUCCAUUUGUAUGAAGUUCAUAAACAGACAAAAUUAGUCAGUGGAGAUUAUUCUCAUAGAAGUCUGAAGGGUAGUUGUCUUUAGGGAGGGGGAUAUAGUGACUGAGGUGGGUAUAAGGGGUUUCUGGGGUUUGGUGAUGGUACACCAGCAUAUUCACUCUGAAAACUCAUUGAGCUGUGCAAUAAUGAUUUUUCAAACUUUUAUAUGUGUAUGAUAAUGCUUCAAUAAAGCUUUGCUUAAAAACACGCAUAGUCAUUGCUAUGGUGUGAAUGUUUGUGUGCCCCCGUUCACCAAAUUCAUAGGUUGAAAUCCUAACCCCCAAGGUGAUGAUAUUAGGAGU